This 497-nucleotide ribosomal RNA is filed under the name uncultured bacterium. RNAcentral's name for it is "partial 16S ribosomal RNA". It matches the Rfam family "Bacterial small subunit ribosomal RNA", at positions 28 to 507 of the family's 1533-position model. The record is from RNAcentral.
GAUGAACGCUGGCGGCGUGCCUAAUACAUGCAAGUCGAGCGAACAGAUGAGGAGCUUGCUCCUCUGACGUUAGCGGCGGACGGGUGAGUAACACGUGGUUAACCUAACUAUAAGACUGGGAUAACUACGGGAAACCGUAGCUAAUACCGGAUAAUAUAUUGAACCGCAUGGUUCAAUAGUGAAAGACGGUUUUGCUGUCACUUAUAGAUGGAUCAGCGCCGCAUUAGCUAGUUGGUAAGGUAACGGCUUACCAAGGCAACGAUGCGUAGCCGACCUGAGAGGGUGAACGGACAGACUGUCACUGAGACACGGUCGAGACUCCGAGAGGAGGCAGCAGUAGGGAAUCUUCCGCGAUGGACGAGAGCCGGAUGGUGCAACGCCGCGUAAGUGAUGAUGGUCUUCUGAUGGUAGAGCGCUGUAAUUAGGGAAGUAGAAAAGUGUAAGUACCUGUGCUCGUCUUGACGGUACCUAAACAAUAAGCCACGGCUAACUACGUG